AACGAACGCUGGCGGCAUGCCUAACACAUGCAAGUCGAACGAGACCUUCGGGUCUUGGGGCGCACGGGUGCGUAACGCGUGGGAACCUGCCCUUAGGUUCGGAAUAACUCCCCGAAAGGGGUGCCAAUACGGGACAAUGUCUUAGGACCAAAGAUUUAUCGCCUUUGGAUGGGCCCUCGUUGGAUUAGCUAGUGGGUAGGGUAAAAGCCUACUAAGGCGACGAUCCAUAGCUGGUCUGAGAGGAUGAUCAGCCACACUGGGAGUGGGACACGGCCCGGACUCCUACGGGAGGCAGCAGUGGGUGAUAUUGGACAGUGGGCGAAAGGCUGAUCCAGCAAUGCCGCGUGAGUUAUGAAGGCCUUGGGGUUGUAAAGCUCUUUUACCCGUGAUGAUAAUGACAGUACCGGGAGAAUAAGCUCCGGCUAACUCCGUG
Molecule: ribosomal RNA, 433 nt
Filed under: uncultured bacterium
Lineage: Bacteria
Description: partial 16S ribosomal RNA
Rfam family: Bacterial small subunit ribosomal RNA
Source: RNAcentral